This is a long non-coding RNA of Mizuhopecten yessoensis (Yesso scallop), 605 nucleotides long. RefSeq lists it as uncharacterized. Lineage: Eukaryota; Metazoa; Mollusca; Bivalvia; Pectinida; Pectinidae. The transcript has 4 exons. The record is from RefSeq and is a predicted model, not a curated record.
CCCGAGACAGGAUAUGCAAAAAGAUUGUUCUAUUAUUUCACCGCAAGUGAAAUUGAGAAAAUCUGUCCAACGGUUACCAAGCUGACAUGGCGAUUUGGAAAUGAGGUAUUCUAUAAUCUGCUGUGUGUGCUUCUUACCCUGCUGUUGGGCUAUGCGCCGUCGGUCGGAAAAAUCGUCAAAGAAAAAAUGUCAGCCGCCGUGUCAAUGUUCCAAGAAUGGAGAGCUCGUCCUUCCCUCUGCCGUCACUGCGGUACUGCCCCGUGUCAGGUUAAAAGGAGAUCCUUGUUGAAGCCCUCCGUUACUCGUAAGAAAGACAAGGCGAACUUCGCAAAAAGGUCAAACGUCAUGAUGUUGUUUUACUAUGGACUAGAGUUGUCCGUGGUACUGACCAAAGAGAUGCCCUGGAAUGACCUGUACUUGGAGAGGAAGUUCGUCCAGCAUUUUGAGGAGGAGCAUAUGGUGUUGUUCCCACUGUGCAUCCAGCGUCAAAUCAACUACUGGUACCCUGUCCCUCGCUAGAUUCGUUGCGCCGUUCAAAGAGAAGAACGUGGAUUGCAGUCGGUGACGGAAUAGAAGUUUGAGAUUGACGUCAAAAGAUCGAUUUA